Long non-coding RNA from Brachypodium distachyon (stiff brome), 1423 nucleotides. RefSeq lists it as uncharacterized. The record is from RefSeq and is a predicted model, not a curated record. Lineage: Eukaryota; Viridiplantae; Streptophyta; Magnoliopsida; Poales; Poaceae. The transcript has 4 exons.
CUUUUGCUAUUGUGGUUCGAAACAUUGGCUUGUUGAUUGAAUCUGAUUCCUAGGUCUUAUAGGGAUAUAUAGAAUGAUUAGCAAUUUCUAGAAACAUAGAGACCUGGAAAUCCUUUGUAAAUAACAUAUUUUCUUGGUGUUAUAGUACUUUGCAUCCCCUUUACAGAAGAAUAUGGCAAAAACUUCAUUUCAGAACCAAUAGAACAUGUGAUGAUCAAGUAGGGCUCAGAUGGAAAAUCAACUUAAGUUAAUCUGCUCAAAGGAAAACGUAAAAACUGUUACAAUGGCUUGGGUCUGAAGCUUAGCAUGCGCUUCCUUUCAUAGCUAGAAUGCUAGAUUGGGUUUCGAAUUUGAUGCUGUUAUUAUCGGGGGGAAAAUAUAAUUUUAUUUGCCUAGUCCAGUGCCUGAAACUAGAGUUUUGGAUUCCAAUCUCCAGAUGACUGACAUCAUCUUCUGCAAACUUAGGAGAGCAUAAUGGAUUAGCCGGUUAGGUUCGUUGUCCUCCAGAUACGGAUCUUGACUUCAGAUUUCCUUGAUUUAUAUCAACUUUGGUGUUUUCUAAGUACUACUCCGUGUCUCCAUCCCAUAUUAAGUGACGAAAUAUUACAUGUGUGAUGUAUCUAGUCGCUUUUUGGAUAUAGAUACAUCCAUAUGUGGACAAAUUUGAGUCACUUAAUAUGAGACGGAGGGAGUAUUAGAUAUGAUCUCUCCCCUGAAAGAGAAUCACUGAUGGUAACUUUUAGAUAAGGCGUUCAGAUACCUGAUGAGUUAGGAUAUGGAUGGCAAAUUUCCGUACUGAUUAAGUGAUAAGAUGCCAGCGCUAUUACCCCAUCAAAAGACGUGUACCUCUUAUGGCUUCAGAUGACGAUCUGUAGCCCCAAAAAUUGGCUUGUUGAUGUCUGUCAAAGACUAUCUAAAUGACCUUCCUGCUCUCAAAGUCUGAAAUUCUUUUGUUUAAGCUCGUUGCAGCUUUAGUUGAUGCCUAGGUACCGCAAGGUUAUAUUUGGGUGCAGGGUGACAAUAUUUAUGCAUCUACGGACUCAAGGAAACUUGGAUCUGUGCCUUAUGGUCUUGUAGAAGGGAAGAUGUCCUAUUGGAUUUGGCCACUGAAGAAGAUUAGUUUGAUUGAUCCCAAGGAGUAGCACACUACAUAAUUCGUGAAGAGAGAGACAUUUUCGAGCAUACACAUACAUUCAGGUGACACAAACGAGAACCCACAUUUGUGGAUGCAUCUUGACGUCUAUGAUGUGAUAGUUCACAGUUUUGGUCCAUGUCUUCUGGAAGUCUCAUUUAGCCAAUCUAUGAAAAAUUGUUUCUGCCUUUCGUUGUAACUUAUGGUCAGUCAAUUUUUGUAUAGAUUGGAAGAGGACAGAGUUUUCGGGCAUGGUUGAACGUAACAUCGAGAAUCAAACUGACUUCUUGU